GGUUAAGCGACUAAGCGUACACGGUGGAUGCCCUGGCAGUCAGAGGCGAUGAAGGACGUGCUAAUCUGCGAAAAGCGUCGGUAAGGUGAUAUGAACCGUUAUAACCGGCGAUGUCCGAAUGGGGAAACCCAGUGCAAUUCGUUGCACUAUCGUUAACUGAAUACAUAGGUUAACGAGGCGAACCGGGGGAACUGAAACAUCUAAGUACCCCGAGGAAAAGAAAUCAACCGAGAUUCCCCCAGUAGCGGCGAGCGAACGGGGAGCAGCCCAGAGUCUGAAUCAGCUUGUGUGUUAGUGGAACGGUCUGGAAAGUCCGACGGUACAGGGUGAUAGUCCCGUACACCAAAAUGCACAGGCUGUGAACUCGAAGAGUAGGGCGGGACACGUGGUAUCCUGUCUGAAUAUGGGGGGACCAUCCUCCAAGGCUAAAUACUCCUGACUGACCGAUAGUGAACCAGUACCGUGAGGGAAAGGCGAAAAGAACCCCGGCGAGGGGAGUGAAAAAGAACCUGAAACCGUGUACGUACAAGCAGUGGGAGCACCUUCGGGUGUGACUGCGUACCUUUUGUAUAAUGGGUCAGCGACUUAUAUUCUGUAGCAAGGUUAACCGUAUAGGGGAGCCGCAGGGAAACCGAGUCUUAACUGGGCGUUAAGUUGCAGGGUAUAGACCCGAAACCCGGUGAUCUAGCCAUGGGCAGGUUGAAGGUUGGGUAACACUAACUGGAGGACCGAACCGACUAAUGUUGAAAAAUUAGCGGAUGACUUGUGGCUGGGGGUGAAAGGCCAAUCAAACCGGGAGAUAGCUGGUUCUCCCCGAAAGCUAUUUAGGUAGCGCCUCGUGAAUUCAUCUUCGGGGGUAGAGCACUGUUUCGGCUAGGGGGUCAUCCCGACUUACCAACCCGAUGCAAACUACGAAUACCGAAGAAUGUUAUCACGGGAGACACACGGCGGGUGCUAACGUCCGUCGUGAAGAGGGAAACAACCCAGACCGCCAGCUAAGGUCCCAAAGUCAUGGUUAAGUGGGAAACGAUGUGGGAAGGCACAGACAGCCAGGAUGUUGGCUUAGAAGCAGCCAUCAUUUAAAGAAAGCGUAAUAGCUCACUGGUCGAGUCGGCCUGCGCGGAAGAUGUAACGGGGCUAAACCAUGCACCGAAGCUGCGGCAGCGACACUAUGUGUUGUUGGGUAGGGGAGCGUUCUGUAAGCCUGCGAAGGUGUGCUGUGAGGCAUGCUGGAGGUAUCAGAAGUGCGAAUGCUGACAUAAGUAACGAUAAAGCGGGUGAAAAGCCCGCUCGCCGGAAGACCAAGGGUUCCUGUCCAACGUUAAUCGGGGCAGGGUGAGUCGACCCCUAAGGCGAGGCCGAAAGGCGUAGUCGAUGGGAAACAGGUUAAUAUUCCUGUACUUGGUGUUACUGCGAAGGGGGGACGGAGAAGGCUAUGUUAGCCGGGCGACGGUUGUCCCGGUUUAAGCAUGUAGGCUGGUUGUCCAGGCAAAUCCGGAUAAUCAAGGCUGAGGUGUGAUGACGAGGCACUACGGUGCUGAAGUAACAAAUGCCCUGCUUCCAGGAAAAGCCUCUAAGCAUCAGGUAACAUCAAAUCGUACCCCAAACCGACACAGGUGGUCAGGUAGAGAAUACCAAGGCGCUUGAGAGAACUCGGGUGAAGGAACUAGGCAAAAUGGUGCCGUAACUUCGGGAGAAGGCACGCUGGUGUGUAGGUGAAGUCCCUGCGGAUGGAGCUGAGACCAGUCGAAGAUACCAGCUGGCUGCAACUGUUUAUUAAAAACACAGCACUGUGCAAACACGAAAGUGGACGUAUACGGUGUGACGCCUGCCCGGUGCCGGAAGGUUAAUUGAUGGGGUUAUCCGUAAGGAGAAGCUCUUGAUCGAAGCCCCGGUAAACGGCGGCCGUAACUAUAACGGUCCUAAGGUAGCGAAAUUCCUUGUCGGGUAAGUUCCGACCUGCACGAAUGGCGUAAUGAUGGCCAGGCUGUCUCCACCCGAGACUCAGUGAAAUUGAACUCGCUGUGAAGAUGCAGUGUACCCGCGGCAAGACGGAAAGACCCCGUGAACCUUUACUAUAGCUUGACACUGAACAUUGAGCCUUGAUGUGUAGGAUAGGUGGGAGGCUUUGAAGCGUGGACGCCAGUCUGCGUGGAGCCAACCUUGAAAUACCACCCUUUAAUGUUUGAUGUUCUAACGUUGGCCCCUGACCGGGGUUGCGGACAGUGUCUGGUGGGUAGUUUGACUGGGGCGGUCUCCUCCCAAAGCGUAACGGAGGAGCACGAAGGUUAGCUAAUCCUGGUCGGACAUCAGGAGGUUAGUGCAAUGGCAUAAGCUAGCUUGACUGCGAGCGUGACGGCGCGAGCAGGUGCGAAAGCAGGUCAUAGUGAUCCGGUGGUUCUGAAUGGAAGGGCCAUCGCUCAACGGAUAAAAGGUACUCCGGGGAUAACAGGCUGAUACCGCCCAAGAGUUCAUAUCGACGGCGGUGUUUGGCACCUCGAUGUCGGCUCAUCACAUCCUGGGGCUGAAGUAGGUCCCAAGGGUAUGGCUGUUCGCCAUUUAAAGUGGUACGCGAGCUGGGUUUAGAACGUCGUGAGACAGUUCGGUCCCUAUCUGCCGUGGGCGCUGGAGAAUUGAGGGGGGCUGCUCCUAGUACGAGAGGACCGGAGUGGACGCAUCACUGGUGUUCGGGUUGUCAUGCCAAUGGCACUGCCCGGUAGCUAAAUGCGGAAGAGAUAAGUGCUGAAAGCAUCUAAGCACGAAACUUGCCCCGAGAUGAGUUCUCCCUGAGACUUUAAGUCUCCUGAAGGAACGUUGAAGACGACGACGUUGAUAGGCCGGGUGUGUAAGCGCAGCGAUGCGUUGAGCUAACCGGUACUAAUGAACCGUGAGGCUUAACCUU
Molecule: ribosomal RNA, 2902 nt
Filed under: Klebsiella pneumoniae
Lineage: Bacteria; Pseudomonadati; Pseudomonadota; Gammaproteobacteria; Enterobacterales; Enterobacteriaceae
Also listed under: 1 other name
Description: 23S ribosomal RNA
Rfam family: Bacterial large subunit ribosomal RNA
Source: RNAcentral